AUUGAACGCUGGCGGCAGGCCUAACACAUGCAAGUCGAGCGGAGCGGCGGACGGGUGAGUAAUGCCUAGGAAUCUGACUGGUAGUGGGGGAUAACGUCCGGAAACGGGCGCUAAUACCGCAUACUAUCAGAUGAGCCUAGGUCGGAUUAGCUAGUUGGUGGGGUAAAGGCCGACCAAGGCGACGAUCCGUAACUGGUAGGAGAGGAUGAUCAGUAACAUUGGAACUGGGACACGGUCCAGACUCCGACGGUGGGCAUCAGUGGGGAAUAUUGGACAAUGGGCGAAUGUCUGAUCCAGCCCUGUCGCGUGUGUGAAGAAGGUCUUCGGAUUGUAAAGCACUUUAAGUUGGGAGGCGUUACCUACAGAUUAAGCACCGGCUAACUUCGUGCCAGCAGCCGCGGUAAUAC
Molecule: ribosomal RNA, 407 nt
Filed under: uncultured bacterium
Lineage: Bacteria
Description: partial 16S ribosomal RNA
Rfam family: Bacterial small subunit ribosomal RNA
Source: RNAcentral